RNA transcript from Onychostruthus taczanowskii (white-rumped snowfinch), 7271 nucleotides. It is a transcript of the gene named mediator complex subunit 26, with no coding region annotated. The record is from RefSeq and is a predicted model, not a curated record. NCBI's taxonomy places the organism in Eukaryota, Metazoa, Chordata, Aves, Passeriformes, Passeridae. The transcript is spliced from 4 exons.
CCCGGCCGCCUCCCCACGCCAGGCCGCGGCUCGGGCGCGGCCUGCAGGGGGCUCUGGGCCGGCCCCGCCGCCGCUCGCCGGGACCUUCCGGGGCGCCCACCUGUUCCUCGGGCCCGGCGGCCGCUCCGGCCGCGGCCGGGGGCACCCCGGGCUGCGGGAACGCCAGGAGGGCUCCGGCGGUGGCUGCGGGGCUCUGGAGCUGCUCCAGCACCGAGCAGCCUCGGUCUUCGCUUUUAUCCCUUCCUGCAGCGCCGUAAUGAGCUUAUGGGCUCCUUCUGGGAUGUGCUGUAAGCACAGAAGUCAGCGUGUAUUUUACCUUUCUCCGCUUAGGUGUUUAUUACUGUGAGAGGACUGCAGGGCCCUCAAUCUGUCCAGUUUUGGAGUCUUAGAUCAGCAGUCACCGCCGCAGGACGCCAAGGUGGGUCUGUCUUGGCCAUCUGCAGUUUGUGGGGGCAGCCUCUGGUCCAUCAGGCUGAAUGUGAACGUGUUAUUUUAGGGGCUGGGGUGUGUGAAAUGGUGCUUUGGUUCCAUUAAAGUCAAAGUUGCUCCUGUCUGAACAAGUGCUUUUUUGUGAUAGACCUGCAUCAAAGUGCUGAAGUAGCUAAUAAAGUUAUUGUCACUUGGAACCCCUCCUGGAGCAGCCUGCCCUGUGUCAUGGGGACUGAAGAAAAAUCUCUCUGGCCUUGUAGGUUCUGUCGAACCCCUUGGGCUGGGCAUCUGUGGGGAGUAGCAGUGUUACACAUUGGAGUAACAGUAACAAAUCCUGGUGGUAAUUGUGGACUGUUAAAUGUCAGCGUUGUCUGAGUUUGCAGUACUUUAACAUGGAUCUUGCUGAAAUGUCAGUUAGUGCACUUCAUGAAUCCUGUUUGCUCUGAGCUCUCUUUCUGUGGCUGCAGAUUUUUCACUCUACGUGAGACCGAGUGCCAACCUACUUUAAUAAAAUUCUAGCAGAUCUGUGGUGUCUUUUGACUUCAGAACUGUCAGCUACUGUUGUUACCCUAAUUUUGGUGUUUGUCAGACACUGUGGCUGUGCACAACUAAGCAGCCAGAAAGCCAGUUUUGUGAUGGAUACUCUUCCCUUUCUCCACACGCUGAUGUUUCAGGAUGCUCUUGUGAGAGGACCCAAAGUAACCAGGCAGCUCCCUGCAAGGGGAGGCCAGAUCUCCCAACAGGUCAGUAGCCCCUUAAGUUUAGGAGUGAUGUAUGUUAAAUUAUAAUUCUACAUACUUGAUACUUAUCCAGGGCAAUAAUUGGUGGCAGAAAAAUCAGCUCAUUGUUCCAAAGUGCCUGUAGGCAGGGUCUGUCUUCCAGUUUAACCUUUUCUUGGAGGAGAGCAGAGGUGGUGUAGCUGAGGUUCAUUGUGCAGGCUGAGAGCUCAGACUCUGGGCUCCAAAGCACAUGGAAUAUGUGGUGGUGUUGAUUGUUCACCACCUGGCACAUCACUGCAUAGAGGGAAGAAAAACUUAAAUUUUGAACAUGCUUAAAAAGCAGAUUUUGAGUUUAAUCACACUUGGGCACCAUCAUAUGAGUACAAGAAGCUGCUCUGCUGUUUUUCUGCUGGGAGAGUCAGUGGAGCCAUGAGCUGCUGUGCCUGCAGGGACUCAUGGAAGUCUCCAGCUACUUUCUGCUGGCUCUUAGAACCUUCUCCUGACAGAAUUAGUUGUGUUCAAACCUACAGCAGACAUUGUUGUCACUGACUUCCUCAUUUAUCAAGAAGGUCAAGCUUGGAGGCCUAGAUUUAAUUCAAGCUUUUCAGUGUAGUUGGUGUGUGUGUGUUUCUGGAGAGGCUGAAAGCUUCACCAGUAGUGUCAGGUGGGCAAAACCAGUCCAGUUCUGUGGAGCUGAGGAGGGAGGAGAUGGUUCUUCAUGGUGUUUUACUGUAGGAUCUGUAUAUUUAAGCUUCACUUAAAUUCCUAACACAAGCUGCCAUUGUGGAUAUUUAUUCCUGAGUGGUUAGUUAGAUCUUGGUCAACUCACAGGUCAUGAUAAAAAAAAAAAAAACAGGACAUAAGUUUCUCUACCUCUGUUGGGUUGAACUGGUCAAAAUAAUCAUUUCCCCAAGCUUGCAGAACCUGCUGGCCUCAGGAAAUCAUCUCCUGUGCUGAUUGUUCAUCUCCAGCUGCUCCAUAAAGCCCUGCUGACUCGGGAGCAAUACUGAAUUUACACAUGUUUAGCACUUGAACCUCCUCUAGUAAUUGCUGCAGAAUAUAUUUAUAACUUAGUUUCUCACACUUAGAGGUUACCUGUGUAAAUUCUGAACUAUUUCAAAGGAGACCUAUACGAAAUAAGCUAUUUUUAAAAGAACUUACAUCAUCCUAGAAGCCACCCGGGAUGUCUGGUAUUGUGUCUUCAUUUAUUCAGCCUUUUCUCCUCGAGGAAACAUAUGGGCAAAUCACUUCUGCUCCAUGACCUAAGCACUGAGUACCAGCAUCACUUUCCUUCCAAGGCUUCUGUGAGAACAUAGCAGGAGGUGGAGGAGAGCAGGAGUUCUGUUCUGUGAGGUCUGACAGGGGACAUGUUCCUUGAUUCUGGUGGGAACAAGGCUGAGAAGCCACCCCUUCCACCCAGCAGAAUUCCUUUGCCUUGGUAACUUGUGCUCUUUGCUCCUGGGGGAGUUUAUUCCCUGAUGUCAGGAGUAAUGGGAAAUGUUGGUUUUUGCUCUGUGGACAAGCCUGUCGUUUCUAGCCAGCUGCUAGAAUUGUGCUUGCAAUUAAAUGUUCCUCAUGCUGAAUAUGUAGCAAUCUGUUCCUGUUUUUAAAUAUUAGAUAAUAACUUCAUUAUUUGCCAUUAGUACCCCUCUGUGACACAAACCCAGCUUUGGUUUGAGUAACAGCCUGCAUUGUGUGCUCCCCGUGAGGUUGGGCUUGGCUCUAGCUCAGGCUGUGGUUCAUGCACUACCUCAGCUGGGCUUGCUGCACAGACCUUCAGGAGUGGUCCAUGGCCUGAAUUAUUAAUAAUUAAUUGUCCUGUGUGUUGGAAUAUGUUGGGUGGUGCAUCGGCAUGGGCUGAUCUCCCAGCUGGCACAAGUUGCAUGGCUAAAGAUGCUUCUGUGGCUGUUUUCUCUGUUGGUUGUUUUACCAAGCUGCUGGAGGCACAACUCCCCUCACCAGUGGUACAGGUGCUUCCCAGCAGUGUCUUCAGAAGGUGCAGGGCACUGCUGUAAUAAUAUAAAUAUAGAAAGCAGGGGAAGCUGGUGCUUCACUUCCUGAGGGUCCCAGUGAUUUCUUUGGGUGCAGGAAGUGUUACGUGUGGGCGAAAGUAGACUAGGAAUGGCUCUUGCUUGAGCUUUAUCCUUUUCUGUGAGCCCUAAUGAGCUUAGCAGUUUUGAGGGAGGUGCAGAGAACCUGUUGUACCUCUUGCCCUCUUUGUCCCUUUCCUCACUUGCAGCUCAUCUUGUUUGGAGCAGUCUCACAUUUUGUGCAGGACGGCAGCAGGUCGUUCCAGGUGUGUGACAAAAUGCAGAGGGUUCAGGAGCAUUUUCUAAUGUGCAAGGUCUAAAGUGGUGUUAUCAUGUCAAACUUUAGUUUCAGAUAAAGAUUUGGGCCUGAUGGAGAGAGUCCCAUUGCAUUCAGGUUUUUUAUAAUAACUUUAAAUGAGGUCUGUGUCUCUUAGUGCUCUUUAUUACAAACACUUGGAUUCACUUGAAUUCACUGUGUGGGGGUGAUGGUGCCGUUGGUUUGAAUAUUGUAUGUCCACUUCUUUCUGAAACAGCUUAUUUAGUUUGGUGGCAGUGCAGGCUGUCACUUCUUGAGAGGGGUUGUAAGGCUGGAGGUUUAAAAACUUUCAAUUUGUGCAGUGUCCCUUGCAGCAGUGAGACCAUUGUGAACUUUGAGGCUUCUAAGACAAAAUCUGAGUGAACAGAGAUAUCAGAGAGUUUAAAUUGUGGGGUCAAAGCAAGGGGAAUGCCAAACUGCUUUUUAGUUGUUAAUUCCUUGAAACUCCCCAGGUUGCAGUGAUGAUGGCACUAGUCAUUUGCUCUGAAGCUCUAAUUUGAGUGUUUGUUUCAGCAGCAGUGACAAUUUAAAUAACACCCACUUCUUAUUCCUGCUACACACACCCAUCUAAUGUGUACAGGAUGGUGUGGUGAACUGAACCGAGGAAUUGAUCAGGAUUUAAAGAAGAAAAAUGCAAUAUAUGGAUCUUUUCCCAGGUAGUUUUUGAUGUAGCUCAAUUAUUUGAUAAAACUUCUGGUGCAUCACAAAUAGUUUUGGCAGCAGAAUUGGGACUUAAAGUGUUUAAGUGAGUUUGGAAGCAGAAACAGCAUCCUGUGAGGGUGGGGAGGGACACAGGGUGCCCAGAGCAGCUGUGGCUGCCCCUGGAUCCCUGGCAGUGCCCAGGGUCAGGUUGGACAGGGCUUGGGGCAGCCUGGGACAGUGGAAGGUGUGGGAGGGGAAUGGAAUGGGAUGGGCUUUAAGGUCCCUUCCAACCCAGCCCAGUCUGUGAUUCCAGGAGGAGUGGAAUGUUGCUGCUUCCUGGGUGCUUCCCUGCUGCCUUGGGACCUGGCAGGAAGGAGGUGUUGUCACCUGGAAAAGUUAACCACAGCUGUCUGGGUUUUUUGAGGAGACAGUGGCUGCCUCAUGGUCAAGUUUCACUUGCAGAGCCUUUUUUGUUGCUGUCACUUGUGCGUGGUUCACAGAUGUCUGGAAUUAUCCUGUGUUUGUGGGCAUGCAGCAGUACAGGGGCUCUGAAUGUGUCCAGGAAUAAGUGCUGGGGAACAUCUUCACAGCCAGACCAGGAGGAUGCUCCUGAGUUGUAAGUCAUGAGUGAGCUCUGCAACUCAAGAGUAAACCACCACCUUCCACUAAAGGCUGUGUGGACAAUGCUCCAAAUUAUCAAAAAUUGGGUUGGUUUGGCUUGAACCUCUGUGCUUACACCAGCUGAGGCUGCCAGUGGAGCUGAUAGAGCUGCUAGAAUCGUGUCCCCACCUCCAGCUGUUCUGUUCCCUCCCUUGUGGUGACCCAACCAAGGAACUCACCUGGCCAAACCCUACCUGAACAGGGGCUCCUCAGGGACCCCUUUCCAUGCCCCAGCUCCUCCUGGGCUCGGAGAGGUGGCAGAUCUGGCACAGAGUUGGGGAAUUGUGUGGCAAGGAGAGGUGACAGUGGGGUGGUGGCAGCUCAGGCUAUCCUAGAGCAGUUUGAACCCCCUCACAUUGUCAGACUGGGUCAUCAUAGGGGAUCAUUAAAGAGCUUUUUAAAUCCAAAUGAUAAAACUUUGCAGCAAACACCCGUCUGCACGUGCUGUACGUGGGUCCUUGGUGGGAAACAAACACUGAAUGCUCAGAGGCUGCAGGGAAAGAACUCAUUAACACAUUUUUAUUGGUGUAGCCAUGAAACAGCUCCUCAAUGGAAGAACCAACUUUUUGUAGGUACUAUAAAUAUGGGGAAUAACCUCUGGCAGUCACCAGGAGCCACAGCUUGGAACUGGCAGCUGGUGAGGCUCCUUCCAGGAGAGAAGUGCUGGAACAAACUUCCCAGGCAGCAGAGGACCUGUGGCUGGUGCUUCCUGAGUUGCUCCAUUUGGGGAUGUUCUGGACCCUGUGUGAGGCCAUUUGAGUGCACCUUGGCACACCUUGAAGCCAAGAGAGCAGGGAGCUGAGCAGGCCAUCCUGGCAGGGCUGGAACUGGAUGGGAUGGGCAUGGGAUCCAGCUGGAUCAGCUCCUGCUGCCAAGGCACUGACAACAGCAGGGGCCAGAGGGAAAACACUCCAAAGCUCCCACAUGGAGAGGGACCCAACCUGUGCCUUAGGAAAUAGAAGACUUUCAGCUUAGGCUGUGUUUCAGAAGUCUGGGGUUGGGCUGAGAAUUCCAGUUUGUCUUUUUUGGGGGGAUUUUGUCUGGUAAGUUGAGGUGAGCCCAGUUUAGGGGUGGUGAGGUGUGCGUGGUUGCCUCUCUUUGGGGUUUUGCUGUGGCCACAUGACACAGCAGCACUGUCAUCCUGGCACCUUUGGCUCCUGAUCAAAGUAGCUCCACUGCAGCUGAAGCUUUCUCUCCUUGUGAGAUCCUUUCCCAGUUUCUUCAAGAAGCUGCUGCAGGUGACAAUUAGUGUUUCUUUUUUUUUCAGGAACCACAAAAGUUUCAGGAGAGGGGAAGGAGGAAUUGAUUCUGCCUGCUGCAGAAGUUUGAUGUUAGUCAAGGUUCAUUGCUUUUAAGGCAUAGUUACUCCAAUACAUUAGGCUUGGAGUUAAAAUUAAUGUCAGUGUAGUUUUUUUACAUAAAAACAUGUCUGUUUUGGCUGAUAAUAUUUUGCUGCUAUCUCUUCUCACCAGUUAUGUGCAUGGUGAUAACACCAAAUAUACUCCCUAGGUCUGUAUAAUGUGGUAGGACGUAGCCCCACUUUUACACGUGGUCUUUAAAGAAAUAAUUUAAGGUAAAGAUCCAUAACAUGGUGGCAGUGCUGGAAGUGAUCUCCAGCCUGGAGAAAUAUCCCAUUACCAAAGAGGCACUUGAGUCUGGUCUGUGUUCUCCUUUGAAGUACUGUUUCUUAAGAAAUCUGACUUGUGGAACAGUUCUUUGUUUUCAAAUGUGCUUUGGGAACAAUCAAACACUUCCUUCCGCUCAUGAAACCUCCUUGGGACACCCUGGGAAUGUGUUUAAAUGGCUUUUUCAUACGUUUCCACGAGGCUGAGGAGUGAAGGGAGAGGAGAGAGGUGGAGAAAAAAGGUAGGACACAACUCACACCUGGUAGUCAGGUUUGUUAAAUGGAAAUUUUUAUUGUUAACAAGUUACUGUAACAGGCAAAGAUCCUGGAAUUCUUUUCUUUUGGCUCUCUGCAGAUCUUAAACUUCCCUUGUGAUAAACACACCUUUGGGUGCUGUAUUUCUCCUCGAAUCUGUGCCUGUACCCUUAUUCUGUUUUUUUCUCAUUAAAGAAUUCCUUUCUGAUGUUUUUCCCAGCUCUCCUGCUUUUACCAGGGGAUAAAGACAGCAUGACUUGAAACCUACAGUCAGUUUCAUGUUGUGUGGCAGAGCACUGGACUAAUCCUUUCCAAAAAGAUUAAUUCAACACUUAAAUCUUUAGUGUUUUUAACCAGGUGUUUCUCAGGGGUGAGCAUUACAAAGCAGAAACAUUCCUUAAGAAUUUUGCUUGGAAUCAUACUUGUUUGUAAACCACCUUGUCUGUCUUUGUAGGAAACCAGACUCGGGAGGCUUAUCAAUGAGGUGAGGAAGAAGACAUCCAAUGAGGAACUUGCCAAACGUGCCAAGAAAUUGCUGAGGAAUUGGCAGAAGUUGAUAGAACCCGUAACCCAGAACGAGCCAGUGCCAAGGGGGC